UGGAGUGAAAUAUAAAACUAUAAAACUUAACUAGACCUCCCUAGAAUAAAUUGCCUUUCGAUGACCAGGACGAAUUGAGUGAAAUCGUCAUGGGCAGAUACGGGGCAGACAGUU
Myodes glareolus (Bank vole) is the source of this 114-nucleotide non-coding RNA. RefSeq annotates it as small Cajal body-specific RNA 8. The record is from RefSeq and is a predicted model, not a curated record. Lineage: Eukaryota; Metazoa; Chordata; Mammalia; Rodentia; Cricetidae.